This 72-nucleotide transfer RNA is filed under the name Sphaerodactylus townsendi. RNAcentral describes it as "tRNA-Ala". It matches the Rfam family "tRNA". Rfam says of the family: Transfer RNA (tRNA) molecules are approximately 80 nucleotides in length. Their secondary structure includes four short double-helical elements and three loops (D, anti-codon, and T loops). Further hydrogen bonds mediate the characteristic L-shaped molecular structure. tRNAs have two regions of fundamental functional importance: the anti-codon, which is responsible for specific mRNA codon recognition, and the 3' end, to which the tRNAs corresponding amino acid is attached (by aminoacyl-tRNA synthetases). tRNAs cope with the degeneracy of the genetic code in two manners: having more than one tRNA (with a specific anti-codon) for a particular amino acid; and 'wobble' base-pairing, i.e. permitting non-standard base-pairing at the 3rd anti-codon position. The record is from RNAcentral. Lineage: Eukaryota; Metazoa; Chordata; Lepidosauria; Squamata; Sphaerodactylidae.
GGGGCUGUGUCUCAGUGGUAAAGCAUCUACUUUGCAUGCAGAAAGUCCCAAGUUCAAUCUCUGGCAUCUCCA